AUUGAACGCUGGCGGCAUGCCUUACACAUGCAAGUCGAACGGCAGCACGGGGGCAACCCUGGUGGCGAGUGGCGAACGGGUGAGUAAUACAUCGGAGCGUGCCCAGUAGUGGGGGAUAGCUCGGCGAAAGACCGGAUUAAUACCGCAUACGACCUACGGGUGAAAGACGGGGGAGUCGCAAGACCUCGCGCUAUUGGAGCGGCCGAUGUCAGAUUAGGUUGUUGGUGGGGAAAGCCUACCAAGCCGACGAUCUGUAGCUGGUCUGAGAGGACGACCAGCCACACUGAGACUGAGACACGGCCCAGACUCCUACGGGAGGCAGCAGU
RNAcentral lists this ribosomal RNA (326 nucleotides) under uncultured bacterium. RNAcentral describes it as "bacterial SSU rRNA". It matches the Rfam family "Bacterial small subunit ribosomal RNA", at positions 29 to 355 of the family's 1533-position model. The record is from RNAcentral.